Molecule: unclassified non-coding RNA, 215 nt
Filed under: Hevea brasiliensis (rubber tree)
Lineage: Eukaryota; Viridiplantae; Streptophyta; Magnoliopsida; Malpighiales; Euphorbiaceae
Source: RNAcentral
CAAUGAUGUUGUUCAUCUUAAGCUUUUUGUGAAUUUUCAGUACUAUCCAACUCCAAAAAAUUAAUUAAUUUGCUAUACAUUCUGUUGAAUUUGUUUCAGUUGUAUCUGCCAGCAAAUGGGUGUGUGCCACUGCGAUGGAUAACAUGUCCUUGUGGCAUGCUCAUAUGGACCGAAAAAAAAGUUGGAAAGAACGCUUGAAGUAGGUCCACUUGGUG